GGGGAAUUGUUCGCAAUGGGCGCAAGCCUGACGACGCAACGCCGCGUGGAGGAUGAAGGUCUUCGGAUUGUAAACUCCUGUUGCUCGGGACGAAAAGCUCUGACCUAACACGUCGGAGUCUGACGGUACCGAGUGAGGAAGCCCCGGCUAACUCUGUGCCAGCAGCCGCGGUAAUACAGAGGGGGCUAGCGUUGUUCGGAAUUACUGGGCGUAAAGGGCGCGUAGGCGGCCCUCUAAGUCGAACGUGAAAUCCCCGGGCUCAACCCGGGAACUGCGUCCGAUACUGGAGGGCUCGAAUCCGGGAGGGGGAUGUGGAAUUCCAGGUGUAGCGGUGAAAUGCGUAGAUAUCUGGAGGAACACCGGUGGCGAAGGCGGCAUCCUGGACCGGUAUUGACGCUGAGGCGCGAAAACCAGGGGAGCAAA
Molecule: ribosomal RNA, 423 nt
Filed under: uncultured bacterium
Lineage: Bacteria
Description: bacterial SSU rRNA
Rfam family: Bacterial small subunit ribosomal RNA
Source: RNAcentral